This 1071-nucleotide long non-coding RNA is filed under the name Felis catus (domestic cat). RNAcentral's name for it is "lncRNA (ENSFCAG00000048803.1)". The record is from RNAcentral. Lineage: Eukaryota; Metazoa; Chordata; Mammalia; Carnivora; Felidae.
CCGGAGCUACGCUGGCCCACACACCGGGUCGCCCGCUCCUUCCCGCCGCGCCCCGUUCCCCCGCCCGAUCUUCCAGCCGCUAGGCUCGCCGAGUCCGGCCGUGGCCGCCGGUUACCGCCCCCAGCCCGGGGGGAGCCCGGGGGGCAGGACGGGGAGGGAGGACGUGGCGCGCACGGAGGUGGCCAGCGGCGAGGCGGGGAGUGUCCUGGAGAGGCCCGGCCGGGGGCAGGGGGCCGGCUCGGCUCCCGGGGCUGCGGGCCCGGACCCUCCCCGCGAGCAUCCCAGGGUCUGAGGUCCCGGCCCGCCCCCGCCCGGCGCGGAGAGGCGGCCCCAACUUCCAGACCCACUUCGCACGCCCGCCCUCCUCCCUCCACCAUAUGGAAAUCUACAGCCUCAGAAAGUGACACGUCGAAGAUUCCUCGGCCUCUCCGCCCGCCCUCCCCCUCCCGGGCAGCGUUCCUGCCGCGGAGAUUCCGGGAGGGGGAGCAGAUUCCUCGGACAGAAUCUGCUGGGAAGGAUGGGGAGGGCGAGGGGGGAGGGAGAGCCCGGGAGCCACUGCCCAGAUUUUUUUUCAUCAAGAAGAAUCUACCCGCUUCUUUCCCUCCUCCAAACCCAGGCAAGCUGGGGCGACGGGAGGGGGGGCCAGAGCCCAGCAAGAUGCGGCCCCAAAGUGGAGACCAGCCCCCUCCCGGGCCCCGUGUUCCCGGGGUGCCCAGGCGAGCGCGGGGCGCCCUAGCACUCUGGCGCCAAGUUUUCCCCGGGAAGCCCGGCGCGCCCGGAGCGCUCCGGGACAGGAUCGCACUCCCGCGGACUCCGCGUCCGGCCGGGGCUUUCCAGCGCGCGGGACCCGGCGGCCGAGGUGCGGGGUCCUGGUGCCUCCAGUCUGCCGAUCGUGCACGCCUUACCUUCCCUCGGGCUGAAAAGCGGGGCUCCGGGCGCGCCACACACCGGGUCGCCCACGCCUUCCCAGCCGGUAGUCUCGAGGAUCCCCGCUGCCCCUUCGCCGCUCCCGCCGCCGCCGCCGCCGCCGCCGCUCUCCUCCUCCUCCGGCCGCCGCCGCCGCUCAAAUAA